AGAGUUGAUCUGGCUCAGAGCGAACGCUGGCGGCAGGCUUAAUACAUGCAAGUCGAGCGGGCGUAGCAAUACGUCAGCGGCAGACGGGUGAGUAACGCGUGGGAACGUGCCCUUUGGUUCGGAACAACACAGGGAAACUUGUGCUAAUACCGGAUAAGCCCUUACGGGGAAAGAUUUAUCGCCGAAGGAUCGGCCCGCGUCUGAUUAGCUAGUUGGUGAGGUAAUGGCUCACCAAGGCGACGAUCAGUAGCUGGUCUGAGAGGAUGAUCAGCCACACUGGGACUGAGACACGGCCCAGACUCCUACGGGAGGCAGCAGUAGGGAAUAUUGGACAAUGGGGGCAACCCUGAUCCCAGCCAUGCCGCGUGAGUGAUGAAGGCCUUAGGGUUGUAAAGCUCUUUUGUGCGGGAAGAUAAUGACGGUACCGCAAGAAUAAGCCCCGGCUAACUUCGUGCCAGCCGCCGC
RNAcentral lists this ribosomal RNA (465 nucleotides) under uncultured bacterium. RNAcentral describes it as "bacterial SSU rRNA". It matches the Rfam family "Bacterial small subunit ribosomal RNA", at positions 8 to 518 of the family's 1533-position model. The record is from RNAcentral.